UGAAAUGGAGGAGAAAUUACAGCAAUUUGUCAACUGAAAUUACAGGUGCAGACACGUGUCAGCCCUGGAAACCGUUUCUAUCAAAAUUAAACUAUUUAGAGAUUUUCUUCAAAUUUCA
Molecule: unclassified non-coding RNA, 118 nt
Organism: Ictidomys tridecemlineatus (thirteen-lined ground squirrel)
Lineage: Eukaryota; Metazoa; Chordata; Mammalia; Rodentia; Sciuridae
Source: Ensembl